RNAcentral lists this ribosomal RNA (450 nucleotides) under uncultured bacterium. RNAcentral's name for it is "partial 16S ribosomal RNA". It matches the Rfam family "Bacterial small subunit ribosomal RNA", at positions 354 to 796 of the family's 1533-position model. The record is from RNAcentral.
GUGGGGAAUUUUGGACAAUGGGGGCAACCCUGAUCCAGCCAUGCCGCGUGCGGGAAGAAGGCCUUCGGGUUGUAAACCGCUUUUGUCAGGGAAGAAAUCCUUUGGGUUAAUACCUCGGAGGGAUGACGGUACCUGAAGAAUAAGCACCGGCUAACUACGUGCCAGCAGCCGCGGUAAUACGUAGGGUGCGAGCGUUAAUCGGAAUUACUGGGCGUAAAGCGUGCGCAGGCGGUUUUGUAAGAUCGAUGUGAAAUCCCCGGGCUCAACCUGGGAACUGCAUUGGUGACUGCAAGGCUGGAGUGCGGCAGAGGGGGAUGGAAUUCCGCGUGUAGCAGUGAAAUGCGUAGAUAUGCGGAGGAACACCGAUGGCGAAGGCAAUCCCCUGGGCCUGCACUGACGCUCAUGUACGAAAGCGUGGGGAGCAAACAGGAUUAGAAACCCCAGUAGUCC